AAACUGUAAAGUUUUGUUACGAGAUCCCCGCUUUCGCGAGGAUUUGGAGGAAAGUCCGAACACCAUAGUGCGGCAUAGUGGCUAACGGCCACCAACCGUGAGGUUAGGAAUAGUGCAACAGAAAGAAUGUACAGGUAAUGCUGUAGUGAAAUCAGGUAAACUCUAUGCGGUGCAAUGCCAUGUAGGUCAACUUUUAAGGGUGGCACGCCCAAUGUUGAUGGGUAGGCAGCUUAGAUAAAUGAUAAGGGUUACGCCCAGGCGUGAUACAGAAUUCGGCUUAUAGAUUCACUCAACUU
This 296-nucleotide RNase P RNA is filed under the name Paucihalobacter ruber. RNAcentral's name for it is "Flavobacteriaceae bacterium CWB-1 RNase P RNA component class A". It matches the Rfam family "Bacterial RNase P class A". Rfam says of the family: Ribonuclease P (RNase P) is a ubiquitous endoribonuclease, found in archaea, bacteria and eukarya as well as chloroplasts and mitochondria. Its best characterised activity is the generation of mature 5'-ends of tRNAs by cleaving the 5'-leader elements of precursor-tRNAs. Cellular RNase Ps are ribonucleoproteins. The record is from RNAcentral. Lineage: Bacteria; Pseudomonadati; Bacteroidota; Flavobacteriia; Flavobacteriales; Flavobacteriaceae.